GGCGAUCGUGGUGAAGUGGUUAACACACCAGAUUGUGGCUCUGGCAUUCGUGGGUUCGAUUCCCAUCGGUCGCCCUUU
RNAcentral lists this transfer RNA (78 nucleotides) under Enterococcus faecalis PC1.1. RNAcentral describes it as "tRNA-His". It matches the Rfam family "tRNA". From Rfam's summary of the family: Transfer RNA (tRNA) molecules are approximately 80 nucleotides in length. Their secondary structure includes four short double-helical elements and three loops (D, anti-codon, and T loops). The record is from RNAcentral. Lineage: Bacteria; Bacillati; Bacillota; Bacilli; Lactobacillales; Enterococcaceae.